This 717-nucleotide ribosomal RNA is filed under the name Phytopythium vexans. RNAcentral's name for it is "partial 18S ribosomal RNA". The stretch from base 228 to 376 matches the Rfam family "5.8S ribosomal RNA". The record is from RNAcentral. Lineage: Eukaryota; Oomycota; Peronosporomycetes; Pythiales; Pythiaceae.
GAAACCUAAACCCCUUCCCGUGAACCGUUUUGUUUUGCUUUCGAGUGCUUUGUUGUGCUCGAUGUUUGGGCUUCGCUGCUGGCGCUUGAUUGUGCUGGCGGCUCGAGGCCAUCAAGCGGUUUUGAGUGUGUGUUCGCAUACAAUUAAAACGUCCAAACCUUUUAAACCCAUUUGAUUGAACUGAGUAUACUGUGGGGACGAAAGUCCUCGCUUUGAAACUAGAUAACAACUUUCAGCAGGGAGUCUAGGCUCGCACAUCGAUGAAGAACGCUGCGAACUGCGAUACGUAAUGCGAAUUAGGAUUCAGGAGUCAUCGAACUUUUGAACGCAUAUUGCACUUUCGGGUUACGCCUGGAAUAUGUCUGUAUCAGUGUCCGUACACUAAACUUGCGUCUCUUCCGUCGUGUAGUCGUCGGUUGUUUGAUUGCAGAUGUGAGGUUGUCUCGCGAUCCGUUGCUUGUCGACAGGGUUGCGAGUCCCUUAAAGUCGGACGCGUGUUUUUCCGUUUUGUGCUUGAUGGGGUGCGGCUGCGGCCGUGUCUUGGCGGGUCCGGUGACCUUUGGCGAUGGCAUGAGAGUGGAUUGCUCGAUUUGCGGUAUGAGGCUUCGGCUUUGACAAUGCAGCUUAUUGUGUAUGUUCGCUUGGCUGUUGCUGUAUGGGUAGCUGGAUGGUCGGUGGGUGCGUUGUUGCGUGUCGUUUUCAUUGAGUGCGUUUCGG